UAAUAAAUCUCAUCGACUGAUCCGGUAUAAAAACGCAUUAAAGUGUUUCAGAGUAAAUUUUUUUCCGAAAGGUCACCACAUUGUCUAUUUCGAGUUUGAAAUGUUUUCUGACUAGUAUCAGGGGUAGCCAGAUUAGAUAUUACCUACUACAAUGUAAACUUUUUGGCCCAAAUCCAGAUUUCUCACAUAUAUAUAAC
RNAcentral lists this small RNA (197 nucleotides) under Arabidopsis thaliana (thale cress). Its description in RNAcentral is "ATSL081230". Lineage: Eukaryota; Viridiplantae; Streptophyta; Magnoliopsida; Brassicales; Brassicaceae. The record is from RNAcentral.